AUACGGAGGGUGCGAGCGUUAAUCGGAAUUACUGGGCGUAAAGCGCGCGUAGGCGGUUUGGUCAGUCGGAUGUGAAAGCCCCAGGCUCAACCUGGGAAUGGCAUUCGAUACUGCCUGGCUAGAGUAUGGUAGAGGGAAGUGGAAUUUCCGGUGUAGCGGUGAAAUGCGUAGAUAUCGGAAGGAACACCAGUGGCGAAGGCGACUUCCUGGGCCAAUACUGACGCUAAGGUGCGAAAGCGUGGGGAGCAAACAGGAUUAGAAACCCCGGUAGUCC
Molecule: ribosomal RNA, 274 nt
Filed under: uncultured bacterium
Lineage: Bacteria
Description: partial 16S ribosomal RNA
Rfam family: Bacterial small subunit ribosomal RNA
Source: RNAcentral